CCCCCCCCCCACCCAAACAAACCAUUCAUUUUCUUUUAAUUUGAUUUUGACUAAUGAAAUUGUUUGCUUCUUGGUAACAUUCUUAACUUUUUGCUGGAUAUAUUUUUUUUGCCGUUCCUCAACUCUGACCCUUUCGGCGGGGCAUUCCAAUUCAUUGAAUUUGCUUGUUUAAAUUACAAAAUUCAUAUCAAGAAUUUUCUGCAUUCAAGGAUAGUUUCUGAUGAUAUGAAAGUAAAAUAUUUUAAACCUGAUAGGAACCUUCAUAAUCAGUAGUGGUAAACAAACAUUUGGUGGUGAUUAACUUGUAUAGUUCAAUUUCAGAAAAAAGAUACUUAUUUAUGAAUAGCUGCCAUAUACUUCAAGGGAAAUCAAAGGUCACUGGAGACUCUACCAGGACAUACAUCUGACCGAUACACAAGGUUUUGCCAGGAGAUAUAUCACACAGUUAAGGGCCUACAAAGAUGCAAAGGUUUAAGGCUGUACAACAUGCAAGACUACCAGACAUAAUCAGCCUAUACAAUCAUUACCAAGCUGCUUAGUGUAUGAUGGGUCCUCUACACCAAGAAACAUUGUAACCUAGCUAAAGUCUGCCACCUCUUCAGCUGACUUGGUCAUGAUGGUGAAAAUUAAAGUGCCUGAAAAUCCUCCUGUUGAUGACCUAGCAGUCAAAGUACCUCAGCAAAAAAUCAGACAUUUCUUAUUCAUCGUCUUUCUUCAAUUUCAAGAGCAAGGGGAUACAUGGAGAAUUCCUGUCUUUCACCUAUACUGAGCCUUCGAAGAUUUUCAAACACUGUUUAGCACGCUGUAUAUCCCUUGAGAAAUGUCCGAGACUGUUUCUUCAGCAGUGCCCUGCCUUGAAGCCUUACUUGAACAGUCAUGAUGACAGUGAAAUGUCAGGGAACAGGGUUCAAAGAUGUGCUGCCAGACUUCCUGAUUCGUUGUUCGCUGCCUGAGUUACCACUUCCUUGAAUUCAUUAUGGGUCCUCUGAAUGAAUUCAGUACCACCUUUCAGGCUAGUGAGUCAAUGAUUGGUUAUUUCCAUCCAGAAAUGGAACAACUAGUGGGGAAGUUUUUAGGGACAUUUGUAUAGACCAAGGUUAUGACAUCUGCCAGAACCAUCACUGAAGUCCAUGCUGAGGAGAGGGAAAACCAACAUCCAGACGAGGACCUGGCUAUGGGUGUGGGUACACUCCCUACAUAUCUACAUGACAACCCUGAUAUUCCAGCAUAAACCAUCAGAAAGCUUUUCAGUUCUGUGAGAGACUUUAACCUUGGGGGACCAGUAUGAUUGUGAAGAAGUUAUCCAUUGCUGACACUACCUAGCACAACCCAGUCUUCUCCAGGAUUAAAACCUACAGCCUUCUAAUAAAAAAUCUUGUGUUGGACCUAUUGAGCUUACAGGCAGAGCUGGCUUGGUGGAAAUGAUAUCAAAAGGCCCACUGAAACCAGAGAUUACAUUUUAUGGUGAUGAUGUAGUGUGACCAAUUGCAGAGUUUGUGCAUAUUAGACAGUUGCAUAGAAAGAGUUUACAUUUUGUUGGAAUCCUUGUUGCAGAUAUACUCGGGUUACAGAUUUGCGGUAGCUGUCAGCAACCAAGAAACCAGUAACCACUCAAAAUAAAGGACCCACAUGACCAGACAACAAGAUUAUAAAUUCAAGCGAAGUGUGCCAAAGUUCAAGUCUGGAGAUAUCAUUGGCAAAUCUUAGACAUUUUUAGAUAUAAGUUCAGUCAGUCAGUGUUAAAUUAUGAUCCAUCCACCCUUUCAGACACAACAAGGCAUAACUGCCACAUAGAGUAGUAGUAGACCGAUUUUGCUUAGAUUUAAUUUUAAAAUGACUUCAUUUAUAUAGUUUUCAGUCAAAGGCUUUUCUCGGUAUUUGUAUUUUAUUCUAUAUAUCAAGUUCUGGAAAAUAAUAAUAUUGGAGAUGAGUUUUUAUCAAAAAAUAAAGAAAAUUAGAUUUUAUUGUUGAUGUGUUUUUAGAAUAAAUAUGUAUAAAGUGACUAUAGCAAAGGCAGAAUUACUUGCCACCAGCAGGCUAAAUAUUUUUAGAGGCACAAAGUUCUAUGCUUUUGGGCUAAAACAGCUAUUUUCGUGAGGACAUUAAUUUGGGGAUUUAAAUUUUGAACAUUAAGUGAAUGGGAAUUUUACUUAAUAUCCACUGAGUUUUAAUUUUGUGGAUAAAAUAUGCCCCGCAAAAAUGAGUCCCUCAGGAAAAUUUAUAAUUUAAAAAAGAUUUUCUUUUCUUGUUUUUCAAAACUCUUCUGUGUUGCCUGAAAACUUGUCAUAUUUAUAUGAAUAUAUUAUAUGACACAUUUUGCACAGCACGGAAUAAAGAACAUAACUGUGGCAAGGAUUGAACUUCUAUAUCAUAGUCUUGUACAUUAUCUUCUAUGCUAAAUCAUUGUGCUUGUGUAUCAUAAAUACCCAUGAUUGAUGUUAGGAGAGUAAUAAUAAGCAAAUAUGAAAAUAAAAUUUGAUUCAUGCCUUAUGAAAUACUGGAAUAUAUCAAUGAAAUAAAAUUGAUAUUUUCACUGUUUGAAAUGGUAAAAAUAUCUCUUUUUGUUUUUCACUGGUAUGUAACUAUACUUGAAUGUGAAAGAAUAUGAAUUAUAAAACAUACUUCAGUAAAGAUAAGAUAUAUAUAAAUACCUACAGGAACAUAAAGAUGUACGGCCAACCAAAAUAAAAUGUAAAUGAAUGUGGAAACAUUAUAGAACUAUUUGACGAUUUUUAGCUCGACUAUUCGAAGAAUAAGUAGAGCUUUCCUACUCACCACGGCUUCGGUGUCACACCUUUGUUCAGUUUUUCGUACCAGUCCACAUUUUGACAAAGUCUGUUGAGAUAAAGCUUUGAUACUUUCAACACUUGUUUACCAUCACCAUGUCCAGUUAUAGGCAAGAGUACGUAACUUCAUCAAGGAUUUUGGCUGAAUAAUGGCCCCUUUCGACUUAGAAAUCACGGUUAACUUUUUUGUACCAGUUCAUUUUUUGACAGAGUCUUUUGAGAUAAAGCUUUGAAACUUUCAACACUUGUUAACAAUCACCAUGUCCAGUUAUAGGCAAGAGUACAUAACUCUAUCAAGGAUUUUAGGUGAAUUAUGGCCCCUUUCGACUUAGAAAUCUUGUUAAGUUUUUCGUACCAGUCCACAUUUUGACAAAGUCUUUUGAGAUAAAACUUUGAUACUUUCAACACUUGUUUACAAUCACCAUGUCCAGUUAUAGGCAAGAGUACGUAACUCCAUCAAGGAUUUUGGCUGAAUAAUGGCCCCUUUCGACUUAGAAAUCACGGUUAACUUUUUUGUACCAGUUCAUUUUUUGACAGAGUCUUUUGAGAUAAAGCUUUGAAACUUUCAACACUUGUUAACAAUCACCAUGUCCUGUUAUAGGCAAGAGUACAUAACUCCAUCAAGGAUUUUGGCUGAAUUAUGGUCCCUUUUGACUUAGAAAUCUUGGUUAAGUUUUUCGUACCAGUUCAUAUUUUGUGUAAAGUGUUUGACAUAUAUCUUUGAAACUUUUAUCACUUGUUCAGUAUUGUAGUCUCUAUCUGUAGGCAAGAGUACAUAACUGUGUCAUCUAUUUUGGCUGAAUUGUGGCCUUUUUUGGACUUGGAAAUUGGUUCUAUUUUUGUACAAGUCCACGUUCUGUCAAAAUUAUUUGACAUAUGGCUUUUAAACUUUGAACACUUGUUAAUCAUCAUGAUUUCCGUCUGUAGGCAAGAGUACAUAAUUCUGACAACUAUUUUGGCUGAAUUAUGUCCCUUUUUGGACUUGGUAAUCAGUUAAAAUUUUCAUACCAUUCCAUAUUUUGUUUAAAUUGUUGUGACUGAAACUUUGAACACUUCAUUAUCAUCAUGGUCAGACAUUGCCAUUUAAUGCAAGACUUAUCAAAAUGCUUUGCCUAAUUUAUUUUUUUCUUUUGUCUGAAAAUCUGCGGUAAUAUUUUGACCCCAUUCCUCAAUCAGUUCUUCAAAUAGUCGAGCGCGCUGUCAUCCGAAAGCUCAUGUUUAAGGUAGAUAUCUUGAUGUAACAACAUUUUAACUUCAUGACAAAAUGCACAAGCCGUUGCACAGGCAAAAUGGGAGUAAUUUACCGGUAGUUAAAACCAUUUAAAUAGUAUUAUAAAAACAUCAUUUGUUUGUUUUACAUGUAAAUUCAAAAUAUAUUUCACUUGUGAACACCAUAAUUUACAUUUUCACUUGUGGCUGUGCUUCACGUGAAAAUAUUACAUAUGGUUUCACUCAGUGAAAUAGUCAUUUCAAUCUUACACUGAAGCAAACAAAUUUCUUUUAAGUGGCACAGAUUACUCAAAAAAGGGAAGUUUAUUAAUGAUUGUUUUAUCUUACAAUAUGCAAAACAUAAAGAAGCAAGUUAAGUUACAGUGGAACCUGAAACUGAUCUUUUUUCAUGUUGACGUAUAAAUUUUACAUCGAGGAGCAUGAUAUAAUUUUAUGUCCCUUUUUGUUUAUUUACGUCAGUUUUGUCAGUUUUAUUCUGGGUAUUGAACAAAUUCACAAUAUUAAUAUGUGUUGAUAAUAUUAUAUAUGUAGUGAAUGGAGUGUUAGCUUUGUUUUAAGAAAUAUGUACUCCUUCUUUAGCAGAAUGAUAUAGCGCUCCUAAAUACAUGUAAUAUUUCUGCUGCAGAACUUGAGGCAUAUUUCUUGAUACAAAGCUAAUAACCUAUAAGUAUUGUACUGAAGUAUCAACCAAGGUUCAGUUUUGUUUCGUCUUUAUGUUUUUGUUGUGAAUGUUCUAGUUUAAACUUUGUUGUAACAUUAUUUUUGUCAGUUAAUUCACAUUUUGUUUCUAGAAAAUACUUGGGUAUGCUGACAGGAAGUCAAUAUUUAGCUUGACUAUUCUACUCACACUGGCGUCGGCGUCACACCUUGGUUAAGUUUUUGCAUGCAAGUAUAUACAGCUAUCAUUUAAAGGCAUAUAGCUUUGAAACUUAUGGGUCAAGUUGAGGUCGCUGACUUCAAUCAUUUGCGCCUCAUCGAUGUGGGUUUGAGCCUCACUCUGGGCGUUGAAUUCUUCAUGUGAGGAAGCCAUCCAGCUGGCUUAUGGAAGGUUGGUGGUUCUACCCAGGUGCCUGCUCGUGAUGAAGCAAUGCACAGAGGGGCACCUGGGCACCUGGGGUCUUCCUCCACCAUCAAAGCUGGAAAGUCGCCAUAUGACCUAUAAUUGUGCCGGUGCAACGUUAAACCCAACAAAUAAAUAAACUACUAAAAGGCAUAUAGAUUUGAAACUUUUUUUUUCUUUUUCUAGAUCAAUUACCAACCUCACUAGGUCAAGUCCCAUAACUCUGACAUGUAUUUUGGGCAAAUUAUGCCCCUUUUUGAACUUGGAAAAUCCUGGUUAAAGUUUUACAUGCAAGUUACUAUCUCCAACACUAAUGCAGAUAUUGAAUUGGACUCAGAAAAUCCUGGUUAAAGUUUUUCGUGCAAGUACAUACAGCUAUUACCAAAAGGCAUAUAGAUUUGUAACUUAUUUUUUCUUUUUCAAGAUCAGUUACCAACCUCACUGGGUCAAAUCCCAUAACUCUGACAUGUAUUUUGGUCAAAUUAUGUCCCCUUUUGAACUUAAAACUCUUUUGAUAUUUAACAUUUUGGGUAAUAUUUUCCUUCUUCUGGGACAAUAUUUCGAAUAGUCGAGCUUGGCUGUCUUAUGGACAGCUCUUGUUGUAUUUUUAUGCCCCCAGCAUCUACUGAUGGGGGAGGCAUAUAGUGAUGUCCUGUCCGUUCUUCUGUUUGUCCGUUUGUCCUUCCAUACGAGGUUAGAAUGACUUGAUACUAAUGCAGAUGUAACCUGUGACCAUUCCUCAUCUUCAAACAUCACCUGACCUCAGUUUCACCUUGACCUUGACCUCGUUUUGGACUUAGGUUGCUUUGUAUGGGCCAUCUUUUGGUUAACCAAAUGGAACCGUUUCGUCUAGCAUCAAUCCCCCUUUUCAAGAAUGACUUGAUAUUAAUGCAGAUGUAACCUGUGACCAUUCCUCAUCUUCAGACCUGACCUCAGUUUGACCUUGAACUUGACCUUGUUUUGGACUUAGGUUGCUUUGUAUCGACAAGGAUGCUACCGGGGGCAUCAAGCGUUUAUUGAACGCAGCUUCUUGUUUUAUCUCAGAUUGUUCAAAGACAUCUUGGUCAAAGUUCUCUACUGUAAUUAAAAGAUU
Molecule: long non-coding RNA, 6169 nt
Organism: Mercenaria mercenaria
Lineage: Eukaryota; Metazoa; Mollusca; Bivalvia; Venerida; Veneridae
Exons: 7
Source: RefSeq, a predicted model, not a curated record